Vicugna pacos (alpaca) is the source of this 4980-nucleotide non-coding RNA. NCBI's taxonomy places the organism in Eukaryota, Metazoa, Chordata, Mammalia, Artiodactyla, Camelidae. The record is from RefSeq and is a predicted model, not a curated record.
CCCUCCCGCUCCGCGCGGCCUUCUGGGAGUUGUAGUCGGGCGGAGGGAUCCGGCUCGCGCAGAGCCGCGUCGCUCACAGUGCGCGAACUACAAGGCUGGCGGCGAGGAGUUCCGCCUCUUUGACAGGCUCCCAGACGCCCCCGCGCCUUGCGCCCCUACCGCCGGGUCCGCAGCUCGGCCCGGCCCCCAGGAUGAGCCAGGCGGCCGCCGGGGCUCUGGCCCGCUAGGAAAGGCCCGGUGACCUUGGCCCGGCUCCGGGUUCGAAUCCGCCUCCUCCGCUAGCUGGCUCUGUGACCUUGGGCCUGGCCCCUCGCCCGAGUCCAGGUGACUCCGUGGGACGAGGAUGACCCGCCUCGUACGCUGGGCGGGUUCCAGAGGGCUCUGGGCCCGGCCGCCGCCUGGUCGGGGUCCGCCCUGGGCGAUGGGGCGGCUGCAGGCCGGCACACCUGGCCUGUAGCUUGGAACGCCUGCCCUAGAGGCGCCCUUCCAAAGGACGCUCUCUCCCUGCGGCCCCCUGCAGCCGUCGCCUGGGCUCCUGGUGCCUUGCGACCCUGCAAGGUCCCGGGGCCGUCCAGCCAUUUCUCACAACCUCUCAUUCACCCACCGCGAACCCCGUCAGACCCUCCCAGGCCUUCCAGCGGGGCUGCUGCGCCCGGACCUUCCUCCUUGCUGGGCGCUUUGCCCAUCAUCAGCAAGCCCCAGAGAUGCAGAGGAGCUCGGCACUAGGAUGUAUGCCGCCGCCUUCUCAUCCUCUGACCCGUUCUUCAUGCCGCAAACGGAUGAGCGAAUAUGAUCAGAUCAACCCUCUACUUAAAGGCUUUCAGACUCCACAUUGUGUGGGCGGAAUAAAGACCCGUCACCCCUCCUGGAGGACUUUGAAUGACCCUGCUGCUGAAGGUGGAGUUUGAGAGGGUGGGUGGGGAUGCCUGUCCUGGCACCCCCCCUGGGUGGGCAGUGUUUUGGGCUGCCUCCCUCCCCACACAGGCUGAGUCAGACACUCCCUGCUCCCGCAGCCCCUGUGCUUUCUCUUGUCAGAGCACACUGUGCUGGACUGGGAUUCUUGGUAUUCACCAGUAUUCCCAGAAACAUGAAGUCAGGGGAUAAAACAUGGGAGUGUCUACCUCCUGCACCUCUGAACCCCAGCUCCUGCCAGGCAAGGGCUGGGCGCAUACCAGUAUUUGCUGGAUGGAUGAAUGACGUAAUAACGACCACUUGUCAACCAAUUAUGCACCAGCCCUCUGCCUGCUGCUAAAUCAUCUCAUUUAAUCCACACAGCCAUUCUCAAGAUAGGCACCAACAGCCAACAGGUGAGAAACUGUAAGUUUGUACUUGGUGAGGGCUUUGCCCAGACUCACCCAGAUAGUCAGAGGCAGAGCCCAGAUUUCAACUCAGGUGUGGCUGCAGUGAGACUUUCGGGUUCCAGCAGAGCACAUCGUGAAUCGAUCGGGAGUUCCUCAGGUGGCUGGAGACAGGGGAACCCUCUCUGAGGAGGUGAGCCAGCGCCAGUCACUGUCAGAGCAAAAAACUUUCAGAAAUUCAAGACCCUGGAGCAGGGGAAAGCUCAGCAAAUCCCAGGAACCAACAGCAGCCGUCACGACUGGAGCGAAUGGAAGUGGCAGAAGCCAUAUCCUCCAUGUAUGUUGGGUUCUAUUCUAAAUCAGCUGGGAGCCCUGGAGGGUUUUGAGUAGGGACUUUCAUGGCAGGUUGUACAUUUUUGAGAAAACCCUGGCUGUUAUGUUGAGAGUGGAUAUCAGGGGAGCAAGAUUAGAAGCUGGGACACUUAUGACAGCCUCACAGGGUGUGGAGAGGGUGCUCCUAGCAGACAGAAGUUAGGAAGAAAAGGCAUAAAGCAGUGGUUCCCAACCUUUGCUUUUCAUCAUCUCCUAAGGAAAAAUUAAUAAGAAAUUAAGGAGAGAAUACUAAGGAGUAAGAUUUUGUCUGGCAGGGUUGAACUUUGGAGGGCCACAAACCAUUGCAAUAUCUACAGGUCUGUUUCUCCCCUUAAGAGUCAAUUUUCACCCCUUUGAGGAAUGUGUCAGUCAGUGUUCUCCAGAGAAACAGCUCCAAUGGGAGAUACCUAUCUAUCUAUAGAUUUAGAUAGAUAGAUAGAUAGAUAAAUAUAUAUACCUAUUUAUUUGAAGGACCUGGCUCACACAGUGACGGAAGCUGACACGUCCCAAGACCUGCAGUCAGCAAGCUGGAAACCUCAGAGAGCCCGUGGUGUAGUCAAGUCUGCGGGCCUGAGACCCAGGAGGGCUGAUGGUGGUAUUCUAGGCCAAAGUCAGCAGGCUUGAGAACCAAGAAGGUAGGAAAAAAAUAACUGAUUCAGCUUGGAGGCACUCAGGCAGCAGGAGUUGCCUUUUUGUUCUAUUCAGGCCUUCAACUGCUUGGAUAGGGAGGGCAGCCUGCUUCACUCAGUCCACCAAUUCCAGGGCUAAUCCCACCUGGAAACACCCUCAGCAGACACAUCCAGAGUCAUGUUUGACCGAAUGUCUGGCCGCCCUAUGGCCCAGCCAAGCUGACCUAAAAUAACCGUCGCAAGGGAGAUGCAGGACUUAGGGCCAGAAAGGUCUUUGUAUCCUCGUAACAGUGACGGCAGCUCAGUCUGGCGGGAGCACAGCCGUCAUAGGAAGGGGAGGAGUCAGGCAUGGAGAUGCCACUCCAAGCACCUCGUGGUCCUGGAAGGCUCUCAGAACCACUUUCAGGGAAGGGUGGCAUAUGCUGGGUGUUUCUGUAAAAGUGAAGUUUUAUCACUUUCAUGUGCAGUAAAUAUUAAUCAGAUAUGAAUAUGUACUGGUAACAAGGCAAUUGUAUAAGAAAAAUCAGGGAAGUUCAUGAUCUCACAAUUCAUAACCAGUGAGCAUUACAUAAUAAUGAACCUAGAUAGCCUUUUCUAAUUUCUGACUUUGUUAAGUCUGCAGAAAUGACAGUUGGACACCCCUUCUCAAGCCAUUUCCAUGCCCCAAGCAGCCCCAAGCAAAACUCCAGCAGCAGGCUUCCCCAACCCACCCCACCCCAGCAGAGCACAGAGAAUUCUCUGCAGAAACUACAAUGUGAGAAUGGAUAUGGCCAUAUUCAUGUUUGGGGAUCCCAAAGAGUCAGGCAGCUGUUCAUGCACACCCAAAAUUGAAGCCCUCAGGUCAGAAGCUCUGCUCUGUGGAGCUUCUGAUCAGCCUCUAAGCACGUCACUUGUAGACAUGAAGGAAAAGUCAAGGAUCACCAGUCAUUUAAGAAAUGGCUCAAGUGCAGAUAUAAAAACGUGUGUGUGAAGGGGAGCAGGCAAAGAAGCUGUUAAUGGAAGGAAUCAAAACAUUUCUCAAAAACUGCUAAUAGCCUCAGGGACGUUUAAGAAAGGAGUCUUGAAAUUAAAAAUACACCCAAAUUGUAAAAAAAAUUCAAUAGAAGGGUUGCAAGAUAAAGUUAAGGAAAUUAUUCAGUAAGUAGAACAAAAAGACACAGAAAAUCAGAGAGAAAUGAGACUUAAAAUCUCAAUCCAUGAGGUCCAACUACUUUCCAAUACGAACUCUACGGGAAAAAAUGGAGGGAAGUAGCUUUUGAAAGAAAUACAAUUUAUCAGAAGUAAGGACUUGAAUGUCCAGAUUGAAAGAGUCCACCAACGAUGGUGACUGACUGGAGGGAACCAGAGGUAAACAGCCUAAAACAUUCAGAGAGAAAAAAGGAAAUCACAUCUGAAAAAAAAAAAAAAAGGCAGGAACACGAAUCUCACUGAGCAAUAAUGCUCAUGACAUUCAGUGCCAAGUAGUGGAGGAGCCCUUUACAAUUCUGAAAGAAAAUCACAUACAAGGUAGAAUUGUAUAGUCAGCCAAACUGUCGAUCAUGUAUGGAGACAAAAAAAACCAAUUUUGGACAUUCAAAUUAUCUUUUUCAGGUAAACAGACUAACAUAGUAACAAAAAACCCCUAAAAUACCAGUAGAUGUAUUUCUCACAAAGGCUGUUAAGUAUCUCCCCUCCAUCUUAUAACUGAGAUGAGGACUCACCAGGGUCAUGAACUCCGGUGCUCAGUGCGAAGCCCUUAAUGGUGUCCUAAGGGUUGGGAGUGAACCGGCAGUGGACAGAACCCGACCCACCUGCAACGCAGCCUUCACGUAGCUCAGACCAGAUUAAGGUGAGGAGCACCGGCUCCACUUGCAGGGUAGAGGAAGACAUCGUCUGUAGCCUCUGCAAUCUUUUAUACACAAGUCAGCUUUCAGUUAAAAUUUUGUAGGCAGGUCAAGACACAGGGCCAUUUUACAGAAAAUAAAAAAGCAGAAGGCUACAAAAGCCCAUAGGUGAGUCACAUAUUGGAGUUAGUAGACAAAGAUAUAUUGUAACAAUAGUUAAUAUGUUUAAGAAAAGAGGAAAAGAUGUAAAAUACAGAUGAAAGAAUGGAGAAUUUCACCCAAGAAUUGAAAUCUAUAAGAAGAUUAACUAGAACUGAAAAAUAAAGUAACUAAAAUUAAGACUUCAAUAAAUUAAUAGGUGAGACAUAGUACAUGAAAGGAUUAAUAAUUAGAAGAAAAUUCAAUAUAAAACAACUAGCACAGAGAGAAAAAAAACUGAUAAAACAGCGAAGAGGACAGAAAACAGAUGACACAGCUUAAAGUUUAACAUGCACGUAACUGGUGUCCCAAAGGCAAGGAGAGAGAAGGCCCCUGGAGCAGAUUCUCCAGAACUGAUAUUUACCCACAGUUCCAGGUCUCUCUGUGAAACUGCAAACAGACCACACCGAAGGGUAAGCACGUCACUGCCCUGCUGCUGAAAACACAAAGACAAAAAGUCAAAGAAGAUAUUCCUGUCUCCAGAGGUACGUGACAGCUGACUGCAACAGCAGUGAAGCUAGGGAGCGAUCGAAUGACAGAGUAAUUGAGGAAAAAACUGCCAACUUCUAAUUUUAAAAAAUCUUAAUGUUUUAUUUAACACAACAUAUUCAAAACAUCAUGACUAAAACAUGUAAUCAAUACACAAUUAUUAACACUUUU